UCCCUUAAAUGAGGACCCGUAUGAAAGGCAACAUGAGAGAAACUCUGUCUCUUAAGGUCAGCCAAUGAAAUUGAUCUAUCAGUACAAAAGCUGAUAUAAUAAAGCAAGACAAAAAGACCCUAUGGAACUUUAACAAAUUGGUUACACAAAAUAAACAAUAGUUUCAGUUGGGACAACUUUAGCAAAAAUAAACCUCUAAUACAACUAAGACUAACAGGUCUUACCACAAUACUAUACGAUCCAGUAAUACUGAUUAACGAAACAAGCUACCCUAGGGAUAACAGCGCUACCUUCUCAAAGAGUUCAUAUCAACAAGAAGAUCUACGACCUCGAUGUUGGAUCAGGGUACCCAGACGGUGCAGCAGCUGUCAAUGGUUCGUUUGUUCAACGACUAACACCCU
RNAcentral lists this ribosomal RNA (401 nucleotides) under Chamaeleo senegalensis (Senegal chameleon). RNAcentral's name for it is "partial large subunit ribosomal RNA". It matches the Rfam family "Bacterial large subunit ribosomal RNA", at positions 1972 to 2597 of the family's 2925-position model. The record is from RNAcentral. Lineage: Eukaryota; Metazoa; Chordata; Lepidosauria; Squamata; Chamaeleonidae.